This 504-nucleotide ribosomal RNA is filed under the name Calphurnioides sp. YT-2007. Its description in RNAcentral is "partial 16S ribosomal RNA". It matches the Rfam family "Bacterial large subunit ribosomal RNA", at positions 1859 to 2619 of the family's 2925-position model. The record is from RNAcentral. Lineage: Eukaryota; Metazoa; Arthropoda; Insecta; Hemiptera; Reduviidae.
CUGCUCAAUGAUUUUAUUAAAUAGCCGCGGUAUUUUAACUGUGCUAAGGUAGCAUAAUCAUUUGUCUUUUAAUUGAAGGCUUGUAUGAAUGGCUGGACGAGGUAAUUACUUUCUUUAUUUUAUGAAAUAAAAUUUUACUUUUUAGUGAAAAGGCUAAAAUUUAUUUAAGGGACGAGAAGACCCUAUAGAUCUUUAUAAUUGUUAUUAAUUAAUUUUAUUAGUUAAUUAUUAGUUUUAUUUUUAAUAAUUAUUUGAUUGGGGUGAUUGUAGAAAUUUUAUAACUUCCAUUCUUGAUUUAUCAUUAAUGUAUGUUUAGUUGAUCCAUUUAUAAUGAUUAAAAGAUUAAGUUACCUUAGGGAUAACAGCGUAAUUUUUUCGGAGAGUUCUUAUCGAUGAAGGAGUUUGCGACCUCGAUGUUGGAUUAAAAUGGGAUUAUAAGUGUAGGGGCUAUAUUUCUAGGUCUGUUCGACCUUUAAAAUUUUACAUGAUCUGAGUUCAACCGGA